GACGAACGCUGGCGGCGCGCCUAACACAUGCAAGUCGAACGAGCGAGAGAGAGCUUGCUUUCUCAAGCGAGUGGCGAACGGGUGAGUAACGCGUGAGGAACCUGCCUCAAAGAGGGGGACAACAGUUAGAAAUGACUGCUAAUACCGCAUAAGACCACAGCACCGCAUGGUGCAGGGGCAAAAACUCCGGUGGUAUGAGAUGGACCCGCGUCUGAUUAGGUAGUUGGUGGGGUAACGGCCUACCAAGCCGACGAUCAGUAGCCGACCUGAGAGGGUGACCGGCCACAUUGGGACUGAGACACGGCCCAA
Molecule: ribosomal RNA, 309 nt
Filed under: uncultured bacterium
Lineage: Bacteria
Description: bacterial SSU rRNA
Rfam family: Bacterial small subunit ribosomal RNA
Source: RNAcentral